UCGUAACAAGGUCUCCGUAGGUGAACCUGCGGAGGGAUCAUUACACAAAUAUGAAGGCGGGCUGGAACCUCUCGGGGUUACAGCCUUGCUGAAUUAUUCACCCUUGUCUUUUGCGUACUUCUUGUUUCCUUGGUGGGUUCGCCCACCACUAGGACAAACAUAAACCUUUUGUAAUUGCAAUCAGCGUCAGUAACAAAUUAAUAAUUACAACUUUCAACAACGGAUCUCUUGGUUCUGGCAUCGAUGAAGAACGCAGCGAAAUGCGAUAAGUAGUGUGAAUUGCAGAAUUCAGUGAAUCAUCGAAUCUUUGAACGCACAUUGCGCCCUUUGGUAUUCCAAAGGGCAUGCCUGUUCGAGCGUCAUUUGUACCCUCAAGCUUUGCUUGGUGUUGGGCGUCUUGUCUCUAGCUUUGCUGGAGACUCGCCUUAAAGUAAUUGGCAGCCGGCCUACUGGUUUCGGAGCGCAGCACAAGUCGCACUCUCUAUCAGCAAAGGUCUAGCAUCCAUUAAGCCUUUUUUUCAACUUUUGACCUCGGAUCAGGUAGGGACACCCGCUGAACUUAAGCAUAUC
Molecule: ribosomal RNA, 570 nt
Filed under: uncultured fungus
Lineage: Eukaryota; Fungi
Description: eukaryotic LSU rRNA
Rfam family: 5.8S ribosomal RNA (bases 209-362)
Source: RNAcentral